This 460-nucleotide ribosomal RNA is filed under the name uncultured bacterium. Its description in RNAcentral is "partial 16S ribosomal RNA". It matches the Rfam family "Bacterial small subunit ribosomal RNA", at positions 338 to 795 of the family's 1533-position model. The record is from RNAcentral.
CCUACGGGUGGCAGCAGUGAGGAAUAUUGGUCAAUGGACGAGAGUCUGAACAAGCCAAGUAGCGUGAAGGAUGACUGCCCUAUGGGUUGUAAACUUCUUUUAUAUGGGAAUAAAAUGUUCCACGUGUGGGAUUUUGUAUGUACCAUAUGAAUAAGGAUCGGCUAACUCCGUGCCAGCAGCCGCGGUAAUACGGAGGAUCCGAGCGUUAUCCGGAUUUAUUGGGUUUAAAGGGAGCGUAGGUGGAUGGUUAAGUCAGUUGUGAAAGUUUGCGGCUCAACCGUAAAAUUGCAGUUGAAACUGGCAGUCUUGAGUACAGUAGAGGUGGGCGGAAUUCGUGGUGUAGCGGUGAAAUGCUUAGAUAUCACGAAGAACUCCGAUUGCGAAGGCAGUUCACUGGACUGCAACUGACACUGAGGCUCGAAAGUGUGGGUAUCAAACAGGAUUAGAUACCCGAGUAGUC